RNAcentral lists this long non-coding RNA (10996 nucleotides) under Capsella grandiflora. RNAcentral describes it as "long non-coding RNA (CGRA_LNC001131)". Lineage: Eukaryota; Viridiplantae; Streptophyta; Magnoliopsida; Brassicales; Brassicaceae. The record is from RNAcentral.
AAUCAAAGAAAAAGUCUUUCAACUUUGGUCUACACGAAACGAAUUUGCUAAACCAAAAACGUUUGGUCUUGAGUGGUUUCUAGUUUCUUAUUUAUUUGAUACCCCAAAAAUAAAGAAAAACCAUUGACUAACACGGUUUGAAAUUGAACAAAUUUGUAAUCCCAAUGAACAACAACCUAACUACAAAAAUUGGUGCUUACAAAGUUUUUUGGUGGUUCAUAUCAAGUUAGUCUUCUCUUUUUGGUUGAAAUGUAUCGAUCAUACCAUGUUCAAAGUUAUAAUACAAAAUAAAUUUGGUUUUACGUACUAGAAGGGGUUCGAAUGACGAAUAUAAUUCAAAGGUUACAUUCGUGACGGAACCGCAGGGUACGAUUCCAAAAAUAAUAAAAGAGUUUGUAUAUCUAUGUGAGAUUUUGGGACUCUAAUAGAAAUGCACCAUAGUUUGAACUUUUUUCAAGAAUCAUAACUAUUCUAUCGAGAUAACACUAAUUUGACCCUAAAGAAUAUACGUUCUUAUGUGUAGAUGCUCUUCUCCAUAAUAUAUGUUGGAGAUAUGCCAUAAUACGUUGACAACAUUAGGCAAAAAGGAACCGGGUUCGAUAAGUUGAGGAAUACCAAACCGAACACCAACGACCAACUUGGAGUCGUACGUACGUGGUCCAAAAAGAAAAAAAGAAACUCACUAAUCAAAUAAUCAAUAAGAUACAAAAGAAGAAGAAGAAGAAGACGUAAAGCUCAGAUUUGGAGCAUAACGAACUCCACGUCACGGCCAAACCUUUUCUUCCCAUACCAUUGACGACGUCUUCCAACAGUAACCCUUCAUUCUUCUUUCUUCAUACGAUUCCACUCCACCCUCACAUUCUCUUUUUUGUUUUCUUCUUCUUCUUCUUCUUAUGAGUUUCUCUUUUUUUUUGUUUUGUGCAACAAAAUGAAUGGCUUGUGAGUUUUUUGACAUAGAAGUAAUCACGUAUGGUCAUCUGAUGUCAUGCAUGAGAUAUAUAGUUGCAACUUGUAGAUAUAUGGACAAGUUUGUGUAAAGAAAACUUGCAUCCACGAUUUUUAAAGUAUUAUGCAUGUUGUAGAAUUGAACACGUGGUUUAAAAAUGUCUUAGAUAACCACGUUUGCAUAAAAUUUAUUUGGGUUUUAGAUUUUCCUUAUAUAGCAACUAAUCCACGUAAAUUCUUAGAUUGCUAUUAAUGUUUUUUUCUUUGUGAUCUUGUGUGACAGCAAAAAUUGAAAAAGGUAAUAAUGUUGACUUGUAAAUAAAGUAAGAAAAUUCUGUCAUUUCAGAAGAGGAAGUAUGUCACAUGUAAAAUGGAUUCAUAGAUACUUUUCCAUGAGAACUUCCCACAAGGAAGCCAUUGACCUCACCUUUCUCUAUUUCCAGCUAGAACAAAUUUUUAUUUUGUUUUAUUUUUGAAGUCACAAGAACUUUACGUAUAAUAGUUGGGGCUACAUCUUAAAGAGUAUUUUAAUUAAUUUAUAAUAUGCUUGGAAUAUUCAUAAUUUAAAUUAUAUAUGGUAAAGUAUCAACCUAGGCUAAAAAGGUUUGAAUAAAAAAGAUUUAACUGUUUUCGAUUUUAUCACAAAUUCAUGUACAAGAAAACUUCUAGAAAAAUCAAAACAAUUAUCCAGUUCCGAAUUGGCAAUGCACUAAUUAACACAAUUUUAGAUGACAUAUAAUUAGAAAAUAAUUUUUUUGAUAACGUUAUGUACAAAAUAUAUACAUAUUUCUUUCAUAUUAAAAAAUAUAGAUUGAUGAAAACAGAAGGAUAUGGAUUAUAACAAAGGUUUUUAAUUUUAAAUAGAAAUUUUAAAAUCAUCAAAAAUUAGGUAAAUCUCAUUACAAAUCCAUAAUUUAAAAUUUGCCGAAAAAUUAAUACUUUUACAAAUUCAAUAAAAUAUCUUAAUUAAUAAUAAAAAGUUUUAUCGAUAUAUUAUUAGUUUAUACGCGUUUUUUUGUUGUUGUACGUGGGUAUAAAAAAUAUGCAAAAUCAGUUUAUGUGUGAUUUGUAGGAUUAUUCAAUAGUCAACAACUUUUUUAAUUUGUUUGAGUAGCAUUAGCAAUUCUUAAGAGGAACUCUUUUUAAAAUUGUUUAAACUUUAAACAAUAGCCAUUAGAUGAAGCCGAGAAUCAUUAGUAGUAUUCCAAGCGAAAACACAUUUAAUUUACAAAUAUGUAAUGUUCUCAACGCAAAGAUGUUUUGGUAGGAGGAAGCAUGAUGUCUCUUUCAAGAAAUGGUGUCUAAUCCAAUAUGAAACUAUUCUCUCUUCGUCUAGAUUUGAAGUCUUUUGUGAGACACAACACACAAGCAACUAAAAAAAUAUAGUUGUGAUUACAGUAGCAACCAUGUGACAUAUAAUUUAUGAAAUAAAUCCAUUCCAUAAAAAAAUAUAAAAUAGUUUACAUUCAUAUUGUUCAUUUGAUUCAUUCCAUAUACUUAAUGCUCAAUUAAUAUAUGAUAAGAAAAAAUACAAUAUGGCAAGUUUGAGUAUUAUAAUUCUUACCAUAUUUUUUCUUGAUUCUCAAAUUCUAUAAUUUCCAAACAAAACACGCAAAUUCCUAUAUUAAUCACAAAAUUAAAAAAACAGUUCUCAAAUUAUCUUCCAAAAAUGGUCUUUACCUCUAUUUUGAGUACUUUCAGAUUUCUCCUCCACGUCUACUUGAUGGUCAUGGAUUGGUUUCAAAGACGAUGCGUUCUCUUCUUGUUCACACGUAAGUACUCUUAUUUUUUUUGGGUGCAAGUAUUCACACGUAAUUAUAUUGUAUAUACAAAAUUUCAUAUAAUAAUAAAAUUCAAGAAAUUCUCGUGAAUCUAUUACAAAAGAAAAAAAAAAUCACUUAAUUGAUAAUGCAUAUCUUAAUUUCUACAUAAAGAAACACAUAUUUACACACUUGCUUCUGUAUUAAUAUUCUUAUUUCCAUAUUUAUAUGAUUUUGAGUAUUAUUUUUUAACCCUCUUACAAGAAAUACAAAAUCAUUUCUAUUAUAUAUAGUAGAGAAGGGUUACAAGAAAAGCCAUCAUCGGUCUUUAUAUUAUUAUCUGUAUAUUCCUCUCUGAAUUCAUAAAAUGGGUGCAGACGCAAACGCAAUACAAACGAACGGUCACGAUCAAGGCAAGUUAACCGGCGGAGAAGAGAUCCAACGGCUGAGAUGUUUCGUCAAGAACUACGAAUGGGGCAAACUCGGACCGGACUCAUUGGUCGCGAGACUCCAAGAAGCGAAUUCUGGAAGACGGGUCGACGCGGCGGUUCCUCACGCCGAGUUUUGGAUGGGUACUCAUGAGUCUGGACCGAGUCAUGUUGGAUUCGGGUCCGGGUCUGAUAAAUGCAUGGUUACAUUGAAAUCGUGGGUUUUGGAUCAUCCGGAUUCACUCGGGUCUAGAGUCGUGGACAAGUGGGGUUACGAUCUCCCUUUCCUCUUCAAGGUACCAAUUCCUCUGUUUUUUUUUCAUUGCUCUGUUUUUGUAAAGAUGUUACAUUUGACUCUGUUUCUUUUCUUCAAAAAAAUUGGAUUUUUUUACAGUUAUAACUUGUAAAGUUUUGAGUUUUAUAUAUAUAUAUAACAAUCAAAACAUUGGAUUUUACAGAUUCUAUCUUAUGAUCAAUUGCUCUGUUUUCUUUGCUCUGUUUUGGUGCCAAUACAUUUGUGAUUUUGACUCUGUUUAUAUUAUUAAAAGUUUGGGCUUUUCUUGUUUCUUUCUUUAAACCAUACAGAUUUGUAUCUAAAAGUGUUUGAAAUGUGAAAUUUUGUUUAGGUAUUGUCAGUGACGAAAGCAUUGUCGAUCCAGGCACAUCCAAAUAAGUCAUUAGCAGAGAAAUUGCAUAGAGAAGAGCCUCUUCUUUACAGAGAUAAUAACCACAAGCCUGAGAUUGCUCUCGCAGUCACUCCUUUUCAAGCCCUUUGUGGUUUUGUAUCUCUUAAGGUACUUUACACAUUUCAGAUCUCUCUCUCUCAUUCUCUGCAAAAAACAUUUGUGUCAGUCUGUGGUUGAGAUCAACAAUAAAGUUUUGCCUAGAUCCGGUUUGAUUUAAAGAAACUGUAUCGUACCAAUUUCCUGGUUUGAUUUGGUAUGUUUCACAUUUGAGUUACAUAAAGUUGAUUCUGAUUUGGUUCUGCCAAAGCUAAAUUGAACCGGUUCUGUACCUUAUGUUGAAUCAGGAGCUGAAGGAGGUUAUAGCCAAUGUACCAGAGAUUACAGAGCUUGUUGGAAGCAAAGCUGCAGGUCAAAUCUUCAAAGUCCAUGAACACGAUGACGAAGAAAGAAUCAAAUCCGUUGUUCGAUUGAUCUUCACGCAGUUGAUGUCUGCUAACAGCAGCAAGACAAAGCAAGUGAUAUCUCGGAUGAAGAUUCGUCUAAUCUCGGAGACAAAACACCGUGAACUGUCGGAUAAAGAGAAGUUAGUUUUGGAACUGGAGAAACAGUACACUGGUGACAUUGGUGUGAUCUCAGCCUUCUUCUUUAACUAUGUCAAGCUUAAUCCUGGAGAGGCUUUGUAUCUGGACGCGAACGAGCCACACGCUUAUAUCUCUGGCGACUGUAUCGAGUGUAUGGCGGCUUCAGACAACGUUGUUAGAGCUGGUCUUACUCCUAAACACCGCGAUGUUCAAACCCUUUGCUCCAUGCUUACCUAUAAACUGGUAACUUUCUUUACACGUUAACCUUUUGAUAACUUUCUUUACACGUUAAACCUUUCGGUUUUUAUGGUAAACCAAAUACGAGAUUGUUUUGGUUUAUCGAUUAACCGGUAUAUCGGAUUUUGUUCAGGGGUACCCGGAGAUUUUGAAAGGAUUCCCUCUGACUCCUUACGUUACUAGGUAUCUACCACCAUUUGAUGAGUUUGAAGUUGAUCACUGUGAACUUCCUCUAGGAAGAUCUACGGUUUUCCCGGCAGUACCGGGUCCUUCGGUUUAUCUGGUUAUUGAAGGAGAAGGGAAAUUACAAACCGGUUCGACUCAAUUGUUGGUUAGCCAAGGAGAUGUUUUGUUUGUUCCAGCUCAUAACGAGAUUCACAUAACCGGAGAAAGUGCUGUAAUGAAGCUUUACAGAGCUGGAGUCAGCAGCAGAUUCUUCCAAACGUUAUAGGGCUAAACAAAUAUUUAAGUACAUUAACUGUACUAAUUACUAUAUUACAUAUAUAUAAGCAAAUCAUAGAGACCAAAAUCUUUAAAUUGGUAGAAACUGUGGUUUAAUGUGUAAUCCCCCUCAAUGGCCUAUUGCAAAUUAAAAGUUCAAGGGGUUUAUUUUCUUAUAUUUACUUUAUUUUAUUUUAUUUUAUGCAAUAUUUGUUAAACGAAAUAUAUGUAAAAUGAUUGUAAAAGAUUUAUCCCAAUUUUAAAAGUAUUUCAUUUUCUCACCAAAAUAUUGGGGGUUGUUACUCUCAAACUAUGAUGAAUCAAGAAGUCAAGGCAAUUAAAUGAUAGAGUUUAUGGUAAUUCAAUGUCAUAUGAGAAACUUUUAUGAAUUUCCAUUAAAAAUUCAGUUGACAAUUAUGGGUUGUUCAAAAUUUCUUAAAUAUGUUUAAAUUAUAUCGUACUUUUGAAGUGAGAUCCUAACAUGAAGUCAUGAUAAUAAUGUACAAUCUCACAAUAGUCAACUAAGAAUUUAUCUUUACAUAUUUCAUUUUGAGAUAGAUAAGAAAUUUGCAAAUUUAUCUUCCUUUACAAAAAAUGUAAAUAUCUUUCCAAGAAAUUAAAGUUUAGCAAACAUUUGUAGUUUUGAAAUCUUAUUCAAAAGUGAAUUUGUAUAGUUUUACUAAAAAUCGAAUCAAGAUAUCGAUUUUAUCAUAUUGUAGUUUGGUACGAUAUAUAAUAUAGGAGCAUCGUUAUUGCAAACCUCUUAGACUUGAAAAAAAGUAUCUUAGCACAAUGUUUUGUAUCUUAUGCUCUAAGAGCCUUGAAGUUAAACGAUGAAGCUUCUUUAAUGGAGUAAAAUGAAGUAUAUAUAUCUUCUUCACAUUAAAUGCAGUGGUGAUGAUGGCUUUCUAACGACUAUUAAAAUACACUCCAUGAAGACUCAUCCCAUAUUAUAACUUAUGUUGCAAUCAAUCAAACCCUGUUAUGGCAAAACGUGGAAACGUUACGAUCCUGAUCCUCUAUGAAACAUCCUCACAUCAGACUUUAGAGCCUCAAACACUUUCAUCUAGUACUCUUUGGCUCUGCCCUUUAGAACCAAACCUCCCACGAAUCCCUCAGUAACCUAAAACAAAUGCAUACCCAACAAUCCCAAAUCUGGGGGGAACCAAAGGUGGCACUUUGUGCACGUACGUUGGACUUAUUAUAUGCGACAAUGAUGGUCCACACUCUUAAGUCAAACAAAAUUAGGUACACCCGUGUCUCAAAGCACUUGAUCUGCUGAUGAGGACAUGACUCACCCACUCAACUCAACUUUUAAGAACUCGACUGGUAAUACCGUACUAGUGUUUUCACAUCAAAUCUUGUGCUUUAUGUUAACAUUUGACAAACUUGGUGAACUUAAAUCUUUAGUUUAGUAGUAUAUGUGAAGAGGAGGAGGAGGUUUCCGAGUUGCAAAAUUCUGCAAAAACUCUCAAGAUGUAAACUUACUGCAAGAUUAUAUAAAACCAUCAUUCCAAAUCUUGUUUGGUCUCAUUGAUUCUGUGAACAACUUACUUCAUUACAAACUAGUUUAUGUUUAAUUUUGAUCAGAGACAAACGUACAAUGAAAACCAUCAUUCCAAAUCUUUAUAAGCAAGUUAAAGAAAGGCGAUGAGAGACCAAGAUCGCAGGUUUACUUGCACUGGUUGUUGGUUAAAGCUUUGGUUACACAAUGCGAAACGAUUCCAACCGGGCAGAAGAGAAGGCAAAGCGAAACAGAAUGCCUUGUUUCGAUCUGGUUCAGUAAACCAUCAUUAUAAACUUGCCUACAAGAGAAAACCCAAAACACGCGUUAUUAAGAAACAUGUUCGGAUAAAUUCAGAACCCGGUGAGAAGAAGAAGAAGCCCGGAUAUAUAUACCUGGCAGCGAAAAGAUCGACAACAAGAAGAUGAAUCCACGCAGAAGCAAGAGUCAUUUCACUUGAGAACAUUUUCGCUAUCCCCGACAACUGCAGAUGAAAUUAAACUUUAGAGAUUGCAAUGAUACAUUAUCAUAGACAUUCUUGUUUUUCACAAAUUUCAGGAAAGCGGAUAAACCUCUGGCAACAUGUAUUUACUAGAAAACAUGUAUUUGAGCGUCUCGGGUGUCCAAGAAAGGUAUAACAAAUACGCGUAUAACACGCCUAAGACGAUAUACGGUAAGCUACUCUCCAUACACUUCUUGGUCUGCACAAAGAAACUCAAUUUAGAUCCAAAUUCCUUUGAGUCUGCACAAGAAAUUGCAAAACUUGCAACAAAAAACAUAAUCUUACAAUCUCAGCUUUUGGAGCUACAACCAUAAGAGUGUAAAAGGGAAGAACUGCGGUAGUUCCAACUGCAAACACACUGCUUGCAAUCUGAGAUGUAGCCAACACUGCAACAUAAACAUAUCAGAGAUCAAAACCACAAAAAUGAGUGACAAAGUUUCAAGCUUUAAGUUCAAUGAAAGUGCAGAGAGAGACACAUUACAUGAAGCUUGUACGCCAGAGACUUUCUUGUAAACUACAGAGCAAGAAUUCGAUGAAACAUUGGGGUGAAGCGAGAUUCUUGAUCCUCCAACGAAGCUCCAAGGAUUAUCUAAUCUAAUUCUUGAAGAAUCAAGAAAAAGUUCCGAUCUUUUAACAGUAAAGUUGCGUUUCAUCAUCUGAAAUCAACCAAAAAAGAACGAACUUUUUUUACUUCAUCUCUUAAAAAUUCAGAAACUUUCAUAUAGAAACAGAGGCUCUCUAAAACAGGUGACCCACGGAGAAGUCAAUUCAAUGAUAUAUAAAAAAAACAUUCUGGGUCAAUUCAAAACCCAUUAAAUUCUCCAAAUUGAGUCAAAAGGUAAAGACUUUAAGGUUAUCUAUAACUAUAGUAAGAACCUCAACACAGAAUCUAAACCGACAAAAGAUUCACAAACACAGUAUAAGUGAAAUCUGGAGAUAAAAGAAGAGUACCGAGAGAGAUGAAGAAGAGAAAGGCUGAGAAAUGAGAGAAGUAAAAACCAUCUUUGAUUCAAAACUUCAAUACCCUUUGCCAAAAACUGAUCCUUCAUUACCUAACUUAACCAAACUCUCUCCAUAUAUAGAUGGAACACUGAGUAAUGAUGGUUUGAGAGGUGUUGUUUCCACUGAAUACGGAAGUGGAAGGGUGAAAGAAAAAAGUUGUCUUUCACUCUUUCUUCCUCAGUGUGUCCACAAUUAUAUGCAACACGUUUUUUUUUUGCUCAUACAGUCCUCCUCUUUAAAAAGUUUUCAUCUUUUACGAUAACUUUUCCUUUUUAAUAUAAUUUAGACAUUUUUUUUGACAUCGUAUAAUUUACACUUAUUUUUUUAGUAUAAAAGUUAAUAAUUCCUUUCGAUUUCAUCUUAAAGUUUUAAACUACAUUUUUUUAAAAAAAAAUAUUGGUUUACUUCAAUGAAAGAUAUCAUUUAGUACUUUAGUAUAUAAGUAUAUUAACGUAUAAUAUGUUUUAGUGAAUCAUCGUUAUAUAUAUAGAAUUCAACAUGUUGAUCGACAUUUAUUUAUAUGUAUUGGCUUUGAUUGGUAACACAAUUAAAAGUGGUUGGAGAUUCAAUCAUUCCUUAACUUAGUUACUAAUUAGAUGAACCAUCGAAAUAAACGUAUGAAACGAAUAGUAGAAGGUAUGGUUAAAAAGAUGGUAAAAACUUAAAUGAGGCGGUUGCCAACUGCUCAAAUGAGGCGGUUGCCAACCGCGUCGUUUAUAUGAUGUUGCCAAUAUGAGCCAUUAUGUGAAAGGGAGAUGGAAGUGAAAGUGAAUUUAGGUGGACAAGAGACAAGUCUAGUUUCAGAAAAAGACAAAGGUUGGUGUUGCUCCCAUUAAUUUUGUAAAACAAGAAAAAGAUAGAGAUAUAGUUAAUGGCUAAUAAUCUAAAUAUAUAACUCACUGCUUGAGAAAGUGGAUGAAGUAAGAUAACUUGGGUGGGCUAUUUGGUAUAUAACUUAAAAUUUAAUUAAUGGGCCUUUUGAUCCACCCAUUUUGUUUUUCUUUUGUAACUCCCACUUACACUGUUCAGUCAACAAAUAAAAACAAAUUUGUGGUAUCUUUCAAUCUUGUUGUGGGAUUUUCGCAUUUCGAUGUAUUCGAUGGUGGCCAAAACUAAGAUUAAAUGGUAAAAAGAUUUUUUCCUUAAUUUUUAAAAAGAUUUGAUUAUAUUUUCUGAUUUGAAAACUUUUACUAUAUCUAUAACUUCAAAAAACCGCAAAUUCUUACAAGCCUCAUAUAUCUUAUCCUAUUCCGACAAGUACCUAAACAACAUUACUACAAAUUAUACAUUUCACACUAUAGAGUUCAAAUAUGUGAACUUGGGCCAAGUCAUUUGAUUGAGGAAAUAUAUAAUAUGAUCCACAAGAUCCUUGAAUAUACUCUUGAGUAAAAAAACAAAAGAAUAUUCGAGACCUCUUAUCAAGAAUCCUAUCCUAAAGAAAGCACAUCCACUUAUGUUUCCAUCACUAGAUUUCAAGUGGGUCAUCAUCAUCUUUUACUUCAAGAUAUUGUUUAGUCUAAACCUCUCAAACCUCCUUAAUCGUGUGAUCUAAUCUAUCUUAUGUGUUUCUUCAACUUGUAAAUUUUCAUAUUUGUUGAGUCACAUUGUCCUAUUUUCUUUAAUGUUCAUAUGCAAUUCAAAUUUCAAGAGAUAUUAUAGAACAUUACAUAUUUAUUUCAUCAGAUAGUUGAGAAUCCGAUAGAAAAUGUCUCGCAAACCGGAAAACAAACGUUAAAUCCGGAAAUUAAAACUUUAGAUAAAAAUUAAAAAGAAAAAAGGAAAAAGCAGAAAUUGAUAUAAAAUCAAAGGUGGAGGAGGGGAUGAGAUAAAGUUUUUGAUAUGUUUUACAAGAAACAAAGCAAAGCAAAGAGAGAGAUUAAGCAUCGGUGAAGCGAGGGGGCUUGUAGGCAAUGAAACUGAUGCACUGCACUUGACGGGUGUUGUCGAAUCCGAUGAUCCUGAUGAAGGCUUCAGGGUACUCCUUCUUGCACUCGUUAACUUCCUUCAACACUUGUGCUGAGUCAGUGCAUCCGAACAAGGGUAGCUUCCACAUUGUCCAGUACCUUCCAUCGUAGUAUCCGGGGGUGUUACCGUGCUCACGGUGCACAAACCCGUUCUAUAAUAUAAAAAAAAACCAAACCACACAUGUUACGACCACAACAACAACAACAACAACAAAAGUCCAAGAUCUAAGCUAGUUUAUGUUUUUUUCUUACCUCCAACUCGAAUUCAACACAGGGAAUCCACUUGUUGCGGAGGAGGUAGUCAACUUCCUUUCCCAACUCGACCUCGGAAAGGUCAGGAAGGUAAGAGAGAGUCUCGAACUUCUUCUUUCCGAUCGGAGGCCACACCUUUGAGAUUCAGACAAAACAACAUAUGAGUUCAUGUAAUUCGAACGAAAAAAGAAGAAGAAGAAAAAAGAUGUAUGACCUUCAUGCAGCUAACUCUUCCGCCGUUGCUUGUGAUGGAAGUAAUGUCGUUGUUGGCCUUGCGGGUGGAAGGGAAAGCAGCGGAGGACUUAAGUCCGGUGAAAGGAGCGACCAUAGUGGCCUGAGCCGGGGAGGCAACCAUUGUAGCGGAAGAGAGCAUAGAGGAAGCCAUUGUGUUCUUUCUCUUUUACUCUUUUGUGUGACUGAGGUUCUGUCUAGUGCUUUGGUCAUCUAUAUAUAAUGAUAAUAACAAUGAUAACAAUCACUUGAGUGAUCGUAGGGUCGAGGAAUCAUGAGGCUUGAGUGGGAAAGGAUUUAGACCGUUGGAUGAUGAGUGUGUGGAUAUGUGUGUGUGUGUGAGGUUUUAAGUCACUUGGUAACGGCCACAGAAGCCUAAGGUAAGGUCCUGAGAGACCCUUAUCGGUUUGUAACGCUAGAACAGUGCCACGUGGAAGAUAAAUCUUAUCGUUAUCUAUGAGUG